Long non-coding RNA from Sapajus apella (tufted capuchin), 3682 nucleotides. RefSeq lists it as uncharacterized. The transcript has 2 exons. The record is from RefSeq and is a predicted model, not a curated record. NCBI's taxonomy places the organism in Eukaryota, Metazoa, Chordata, Mammalia, Primates, Cebidae.
GAUGCAUCCUGGGCUGCAGCGUUCCAAGCCCAGGGAGGCUGCUGGGCUGGCACACUUCCUUGCAGGCUCUCUUGUAUCCAUCCACCUGCACCGGAGAGCAGGGACACUGCUUGCAGGGCAUCAGCUCAGAACGGGUGUCCCAGGCUCAGGGCUUGGAGAAGCUGGGGCAGCUUGAGAAAGGAAAACCAAAGAAUGUUGGACUCCAAGGCCACAGGGACUGAUGGGACAGGAUCCCUGGUUGGCUUGGGCAGCCUGCCCGGUCACCUGUCCUUGUAGACUUGGAAGUCCACGGAUACGCCUGAUGCAGGUGGACGGCUCCCUGCCCUGCUCUGAGCCUGAGCAAAUGCCCUGGGGAUCUGUUCUGUCACUGACCUAAACCACAGCCCCUGAAUGCAUCCAGCUCCCUGGAGAGCCCCUGAUAGACGGAUGGCCUAUGACCCUGAGCCACUGUACCUGAGAAGUCCCUGGCCACAGGGGGUGCAGGCAGGCUGGGGAAGGACAGGCUGCCCAGCGGUUUCUGUCCUUGUGCCCUUGCACAGCCCGAGCCUGCAGCCCUGUGCUAACGGCAGGUCCCUCACUGCAUUAGACUCUGUGCUUGCGGUUCAGAGUGGGGCCCACCGGGGGAUCCUUGCUGAGGCCUGGCCAGCCAGAGAGACUGAGAAGGCCCUGUGUGUCCUGAGCUUUGGUAGUUGACAGUGUGGGGCAGCUCUCCUUAACUGUUGGGGUGGCUGGUGGCUACUGCCAGGCCUGGCUGGUGGGAGGGAAUCGGGAGGGCCCAGGUGUACAGUUUCAGCUGUCCCUGCCGAGAGCUUGCACGGAUACCUUGGUGGCUUCUUUGUCAUAGAAUUCAGUACAGUGGGGCCCAAAAUUAUACCAAAAACAGUCCUAAAACUGUUUUCCUACAUUGAGAAAGCAGCACUGAUUCUAGACACUGCCUUGACCUCUGGCCUAAGUCCUCCUACCUGACGUGAGGGAAUGUUAGAUGGGGCUUUGUAAUAAGCCUGCUUGUAGGAAGGUCCACGCCCUGCCCUCUGCAGGGGCCUGGGCUAGUGGCGGGUGGCAGUAGGAGCUAGCAUAAAACACUAUUAAGAAACUCCCCUUGCGCUCCUUCCUCCUGGGAAGGAAGUGGUCAGGGUCCUGGGCUCUGGAGUGGGCAGCCAACAUGUGCACUCCAUGCUGAGCUUUUCCAGUCCUGGCUUGCAUACGGGUGCCUUUGCAGGCAGGUGACUUCCUUGCUCUAUGCCUGGGUUUCCCCAGGCUUAGGAAAUCCUCAUGAGACAGGAGGGUUAAAUGAACCAAGCCAUGUGAAGCACAGGAGGGUGCCAGCAUACUCCCCAUCACCAGCCCUGGCCUAGGAUGAUGAUGCCUGCAGACCUGUAGCCUCCUCCCAAAUAUGAAGGGCAGAGGAAGCUGUUCUGUGACCUUUUGCUCAGAAUCUUUGUGAACGGACACGUGUUGCAGGAGAACCAUGGGAUAGGGCAAGGUGACAACAAUAUGGGCCCCGUCACACCCCACACUGCCAGUGAAUGUGGAGGAGACAGCCCUCAGGAUGCACCCUGUGGGUAUCGCUCGCCCUGGGAGCUUACAGUCAGACCAUGGAGGCUCGGAGAAUGCACGGUCAGACUGUGGAGGCCUAGGGAGCUUACAGUCAGACUGUGAAGGCCCAGGGAAUGCACAAUCAGAUCACAGAGGCCCAGGGAGUGCAUGGUCAGACUGGGGAGGCCCAGGAAGCAUACAGCAGUCAGACCGCAGCGUACCGCUGGCUUUACAGGGUUUUACGGUCUUUAUGUUCUGGGUUUGGGUUUUGGUACCAACACAAUGAAUUUCCCGAUGUUUCACUAGGACUAAACUGGAGUAGAAACAUUCGCUUCCCUGGCCUAUAUUCACCGCUUUCAAAGGAACAUGGAUUGGCAAGGAGAACCUGCUCCAGGGGUCUUGGUUCUUUUCGGUUCAUAACCAUGAAAAUGUCUUGAGCCUGGGUGCGGCUGUGGAUGGGUGACGGGAGCCCAUCAGGCUAUCAGGAGUAUUUCACAUGCAGCGUUGGCAUCUUUCUUCCUAUGUCUUAUUUAAAAAGAGCCCAAAGUGCUAUCAAGCAGCCUGUUAAUAAUGAAUGUCUGUGAACAGUGAAGUGAACUUAGCUGAAACCCACGGCUAACUGAUAGAGUUUCCCAAUAGAAAUGGGCUUCCCCGUGUGGUUCAGAAGCAGCAGGCCUGGAGACAGACAGGGACUGGGUAUGGAGACGGUGACCACCUCCCUCAGCCCUCAGGCACCCGCGUACCUGUACAUGUGUGUGAGAGAGCGUGCAAUAGCGCCUGCGCUGCACAGAGCUGGCAGAAACAGAAGCCAGCGGAGGACUCCUCUGUACCAAGGUGGCUGAAUUUGUUUCACUAACAUCAUGGCAUUUUAUUUUCCUGUCUCUCUGAGGAAGUUCUGUCCUCUGUUGCUCAGGGCCCUGUCAGAGAUGGGGCUGCAGGUCUCACGCCUGGUGAAACCCCAUGAAGCUUCCGGCUGCUUUUCCACGCUAUAUUUGGUGUAUGCUGAUCCCUUGCCUAGAACACCCUUUCUUGCUUCCCCUCGUUCUCUCAGCAAACACUAACUCAUCCUGGACAUGUUAUUUUGGGCAUCAGCACCCUUGGGAACCCACCCUGACCAGUCUCCGCACACCUCAGCCCGUCAUGCUGCAUUAAGACUGUCCGUAUAGCCAUCUCUUUCCCACUUACUCGGAGCACUCUGAAGGCAGGGGAAGCUUUCAUCUGCGCUGCAGCGGCCUGGCUAUUGGAUGAGGGCCGCAGAAGAAGAUGUAUUCAGUGACGUAAAAGGCUUUUCCCCAAGGCGAGUGACCCACCAAGGUGAAGGAUCCAAUUUCCCCACUGAGUAGAAAGGAUAAGCAGCCAGCACUUCUUACUGUCCCAGGACAGUUAUCGAAGCUUUAGAAACUUGGGUUUUAGUGGAAAUAGAGUUGCAAGUCCCCGGCAUCGCAUCCACGGAAGGAUGGUGGGCAAGGAGUGGAAAGUCCUUUCCUGGCCGGGGCUCGGCUCCUGGCUAAGGGGCCCCCUGGCCAGUCGUUUCUAUCUGAAGUAGGCCUGCCAUGCACCAUGAGACGCUCAACUUUGGGCGAAUGUUCUAGAACUGUCAGGUUGCUUUCAAAAUGACUCUGGAAUGUUUAUUUCCUUUUGUAAUAAUGAACCCAGGCUUCAGCAACAAUUAACACCCAGCUCCUAGGAGCCAGACGCUUAGGAAAGGCUGCUGUUUUCAUAGAGUUUCAAUGUGGAGAGCUUACGCACACUGAUUCCUAUCUAUGCCUUCCUGGGCUAUGAUAAGAAAUAGUUAAUUAUGUAGAUGGGUGGUGUUGAUUUUUGUAGCCUUUUGCUUUUUACAGUUCCAAACUGCAGAGUAGUGAGAGUGAAUCAGGUGACCUGGCUUAGACGAUAAACAGAGAGAAUGCCUCUCUUUCUCCAUGGAUAACAGCGAUCAUGUUUGUGGCUGCAGGACGGGUUGUGGGGCCCUGAGACCAAGCAACCCGCUGGGCCAGUGAGCAGGCUGGACACCUGUGCCCACAGCUCUGGGUUCCAGUUCCCUGGAGGAAGGUGGAACAGCAUUCUUUUGUUUACUUGGGGUUUUUGUUCACUGACUAACUUGGUUUGAGGCUAAUUCCCUUUCCAGAUACACCAGACCAGGGAA